GGGUCAGUAGGUUGGUCGUGCCACCGGUACGUACUGGCCUCACUGAUUCCUCCUUCCUGAAGAACCGUAAUGCCAUUAAUUUGGUGUUGCGGGGAAACAGGACUGUUACUUUGAAAAAAUUAGAGUGUUUAAAGCAAGCUAACGCUUGAAUACAUUAGCAUGGAAUAAUGAAAUAGGACGAUCGAUCCUAUUUUGUUAGUUUCUAGGAUUGACGUA
RNAcentral lists this ribosomal RNA (216 nucleotides) under Glomeromycotina sp. RNAcentral's name for it is "partial small subunit ribosomal RNA". The stretch from base 40 to 216 matches the Rfam family "Eukaryotic small subunit ribosomal RNA", at positions 686 to 864 of the family's 1831-position model. The record is from RNAcentral. Lineage: Eukaryota; Fungi; Glomeromycota.